This 499-nucleotide ribosomal RNA is filed under the name uncultured bacterium. RNAcentral describes it as "partial 16S ribosomal RNA". It matches the Rfam family "Bacterial small subunit ribosomal RNA", at positions 28 to 507 of the family's 1533-position model. The record is from RNAcentral.
GACGAACGCUGGCGGCGUGCUUAACACAUGCAAGUCGAACGGGCCUGUCUUCUUUUUUGGGGGUGGGUUGAGUGGCGAACGGGUGAGUAUCACGUGAGUAACCUGCCCUUCGGUCCUGGAUAACCGCUUGAAAGGGCGGCUAAUACGGGGUGGUCCGGUUGGUCCGCAUGGGCUGGUCGGGAUAGAUUCACUGUUUUUGGUGUUUCGGCGGGGGAUGGGCUCGCGGCCUAUCAGCUUGUUGGUGGGGUGAUGGCCUACCAAGGCGGUGACGGGUAGCCGGGCGGAGGGGGUGGGCGGCCACACUGGGACUGAGGUACGGCCCAGACUCCUGCGGGAGGCAGCAGUGGGGGGUAUUGCACAAUGGGCGGAAGCCUGAUGCAGCGACGUCGCGUGAGGGAUGGAGGCCUUCGGGUUGUGAACCUCUGUUUCCGGUGGUGAAGGCCCUGUCCGUGUGGUGGGGUUGACGGUAGCCGGGGAUGAAGCGCCGGCUAACUACGUG